ACGGGCUUCGGUCUGGUGGCGAGUGGCGAACGGGUGAGUAAAGUAUCGGAACGUACCUUUCAGUGGGGGAUAACGUAGCGAAAGUUACGCUAAUACCGCAUAUUCUGUGAGCAGGAAAGCAGGGGAUCGCAAGACCUUGCGCUGAUUGAGCGGCCGAUAUCAGAUUAGCUAGUUGGUGGGGUAAAGGCCUACCAAGGCGACGAUCUGUAGCGGGUCUGAGAGGAUGAUCCGCCACACUGGAACUGAGACACGGUCCAGACUCCUACGGGAGGCAGCAGUGGGGAAUUUUGGACAAUGGGGGCAACCCUGAUCCAGCCAUGCCGCGUGAGUGAAGAAGGCCUUCGGGUUGUAAAGCUCUUUCGGCCGGGAAGAAAUCGCAUGGGCUAAUACCCUGUGUGGAUGACGGUACCGGAAUAAGAAGCACCGGCUAACUACGUGCCAGCAGCCGCGGUAAUACGUAGGGUGCGAGCGUUAACCGGAAUUACUGGGCGUAAAGCGUGCGCAGGCGGUUUAGUAAGACAGGCGUGAAAUCCCCGGGCUCAACCUGGGAACUGCGCUUGUGACUGCUAAGCUAGAGUAC
This 580-nucleotide ribosomal RNA is filed under the name uncultured Dechloromonas sp. Its description in RNAcentral is "bacterial SSU rRNA". It matches the Rfam family "Bacterial small subunit ribosomal RNA", at positions 73 to 649 of the family's 1533-position model. Lineage: Bacteria; Pseudomonadati; Pseudomonadota; Betaproteobacteria; Rhodocyclales; Azonexaceae. The record is from RNAcentral.